Cyprinus carpio carpio is the source of this 279-nucleotide long non-coding RNA. The record is from Ensembl. NCBI's taxonomy places the organism in Eukaryota, Metazoa, Chordata, Actinopteri, Cypriniformes, Cyprinidae.
UGAAAUCUGCAGGACAGUAGCUCUCCAGGAGCAGGGUUGGAGACCCCUGCUUUAGAGGAUGUGAGUGUGUCAGAGGCUGCGUAAUGAAGUAUUUCUCAAAGGAAGUCCACCCUCAUCCGUGUCCCUCUUACCCACACGUCUCACUCCUGCAAUUACAGCAUGGGAUUGUGUGCGAGCAUUUGCGCAGAUGGACAGAAGGACAGGGAAGGUGGGGUGCUAGACAUACAGAUGGGACGCGCAUACCCACAGCCUGCCUUGUCACGAAGCUAUUAUCCCCCA